This 1713-nucleotide unclassified non-coding RNA is filed under the name Orbicella faveolata. Its description in RNAcentral is "uncharacterized LOC110066146, transcript variant X3". Lineage: Eukaryota; Metazoa; Cnidaria; Anthozoa; Scleractinia; Merulinidae. The record is from RNAcentral.
AGGGUUUUUUAUUGGAAAUGUCUUCGAAAGGAGGUCGUCGCUCACGUGGAGCCGGACGAAAGCGUUAUUCUGGUGACGCUUUCGUAGAUGAACUUCGUCAGGAGGUUAAUAGCUCACUGGCGGCGGAAAAGGACGUCUCGGAAGCCUUCCGACAACUCUGCUCCGUGCAGAUUUCUCUGGACUCGAUUAGAAGUCUUCCAGCGAAAGUGUUGUCAGUAUAUCUGCAUGCCAAGUUCGACGAACGUGUGCGUGACUUCGUCACCUCGUCAUUGGCAGAGCUUGAUAUUCUUCCAAAUUCGAUGCGAAACAUAUCAGUGGCGAAUUUAACUGGACUUUCUGAGUAUGAGGCUUCUCUUCUUUACGAAGCUUGCUCGGUUGUCUCUAAGGCGAGCCCUCCAUAUUCACGAAGUCUCCAAAACGUUGAUAUAUCCUCACGUGGUUUCCCUGUUCUGUUAACUCCGCCGAUUGGUGUUUGUAUCGUUUGCAGCGACACGCUGAGCGAACACAACAAGACUUGUGAUGUUACAAUCUACGGUCUCCUUGGUAAGGUGGCGGGCCUGAAAUUUAGUUUGCGCUGCGACCGUUGCAAAUUAAAUUAUAAUUACGAUCGUUACGGGAACAGAGCGAGGGGUUGGUGUCUGUACGAAGGCCAGCGACCUUUGGUGGAGGCCAGCGAUGUCUGCUUUGUCGACCGAAAGUUGCUGGAAUUUCAGUGCGCUCUAGCAAACCACAGCUGGGUUAGUUUUUCUGGCUUUUCAACAGCCUACAAUGAGGUGUUUCAGCUGCUAUCAAAAGGAGGAGAAUAUGGAGAAAAGCAGUGUGCAUCGGCAUUUUGGAAUGGGGAACUGGAAUUAGAACUAAGAGAACUUGGAAGCCUUGACUUCUUUGGGAUGAUGAAAAAGAAUGAGGACAGAGAGAAAGUGAUGGAGGAAGUUGACAAGAUAAGGGCCAAGGGUGUGUAUAGUCAUUCAUCUGAUGACUGUUCAGAUGCUUGUAAGGCAAGAGAACUUCAUCCGUGGGCUUCCUCUCUUGAACUACCCGAAUGUAUGUACAAAUUCACCACAAUUUGGCAAGGCAUUUUGAACAGAGCAUGUGAACUACCUUAAUGAGAAGCACCCUGAAGUUCCAACUGAUAUCCAUGGGUUCCUGAAACACUGUGGUAUCAAGCAUGACAAUUCAGGUGACGAUAAAGCUUUAGAUUACCUGGACAAGGAUGUUGCAAAAGUUGAGGAGGUGGUAUCACUGCUGGGAAAUGAAGCAGAUUCCCACAUUGGAAACAGUACACUUGAGGCGCAAGGUGAAUUGCAAUAUUUGACAGUUUAUCCUAGGUGCAUAUAUACAAUACCAAACUAUAAUUUCAAGAUAGUGCAAUCAUAUAAUAAUUAUUAGGUAUACAUUGUUCUCGUCAGUAAGACGGUACAGGUCCUGUGAAAAAUCUUUUCUGAAUUUCCCUUGGGUGUGUUUUGAGAGGAACUCUACAAAAAACGAGCUAGACCCUAUUGACCAGCCAUUAUGUCGGUUUUCUUGCCUAAGAUAUCUCUCCUGUUUAUUCCUCUCUGAAAUUACAUACAGUUAAACCCCUAUUAAGAGGCCAGCCUUGGGGUAAUGGGAGCUGGCCCUUACUAGGGAUUAAUUGUCCGCUUAAUAGAGAUUGAUGAACCAUGAAUAUUUUUCACUGUUGGCUAAUUUCUCAGUGAACCUGACUUAAUUCAA